This 492-nucleotide ribosomal RNA is filed under the name uncultured bacterium. Its description in RNAcentral is "partial 16S ribosomal RNA". It matches the Rfam family "Bacterial small subunit ribosomal RNA", at positions 29 to 507 of the family's 1533-position model. The record is from RNAcentral.
AGUGAACGCUGGCGGUAGGCCUAACACAUGCAAGUCGAACGGCAGCACAGUAAGCGCUUGCUCUUACGGGUGGCGAGUGGCGGACGGGUGAGGAAUACAUCGGAAUCUACUUUUUCGUGGGGGAUAACGUAGGGAAACUUACGCUAAUACCGCAUACGACCUACGGGUGAAAGCAGGGGAUCUUCGGACCUUGCGCGAUUGAAUGAGCCGAUGUCGGAUUAGCUAGUUGGCGGGGUAAAGGCACACCAAGGCGACGAUCCGUAGCUGAUCUGAGAGGAUGAUCAGCCACACUGGAACUGAGACACGGUCCAGACUCCUACGGGAGGCAGCAGUGGGGAAUAUUGGACAAUGGGCGCAAGCCUGAUCCAGCCAUACCGCGUGGGUGAAGAAGGCCUUCGGGUUGUAAAGCCCUUUUGUUGGGAAAGAAAAGCAGCAGGUUAAUACCCCGCUGUUCUGACGGUACCCAAAGAAUAAGCACCGGCUAACUUCGUG